RNAcentral lists this transfer RNA (88 nucleotides) under Anaerolineaceae bacterium. Its description in RNAcentral is "tRNA-Ser". It matches the Rfam family "tRNA". From Rfam's summary of the family: Transfer RNA (tRNA) molecules are approximately 80 nucleotides in length. The record is from RNAcentral. Lineage: Bacteria; Bacillati; Chloroflexota; Anaerolineae; Anaerolineales; Anaerolineaceae.
GGAGAGGUAGCAUAGUCCGGCCUAAUGCGCGCGCCUGGAGAGCGCGUGUACUCUUUGAGUACCGUGGGUUCGAAUCCCACCCUCUCCG